RNAcentral lists this ribosomal RNA (468 nucleotides) under uncultured bacterium. RNAcentral describes it as "partial 16S ribosomal RNA". It matches the Rfam family "Bacterial small subunit ribosomal RNA", at positions 28 to 507 of the family's 1533-position model. The record is from RNAcentral.
GACGAACGCUGGCGGCGUGCUUAACACAUGCAAGUCGAACGGAAAGGCCCUGCUUUUGCGGGGUGCUCGAGAGGCGAACGGGUGAGUAACACGUGAGUAACCUGCCCUUGACUUUGGGAUAACUUCAGGAAACUGGGGCUAAUACCGGAUAGGAGCUCCUGCUGCAUGGGGUUGGUUGGAAAGUUUCGGCGGUUGGGGCUGGACUCGCAGCUUAUGAGCUUGUUGGUGUGGUAGUUGCUUACAACGGCUUUGACGGGUAGCCGGCCUGAGAGCGUGACCGGCCACAUUGGGACUGAGAUACGGACCAGACUCCUACGGGCGGCAGCAGUGGGGAAUAUUGCACAAUGGGCGGACGCCUGAUGCAGCAACGCCGCGUGCGGGAUGACGGCCUUCGGGUUGUAAACCGAUUUCGCCUGUGCCGAAGCGUGAGUGACGGUAAUGGGUAAAGAAGCACCGGCUAACUACGUG